UAGUCCACGCCGUAAACGAUGAUUACUCGGUAUUGGCUUCGGUCAGUGCCCAAGCGAAAGUGAUAAGUAAUCCACCUGGGGAGUACGCCCGCAAGGGUGAAACUCAAAGGAAUUGACGGGGGCCCGCACAAGCGGUGGAGCAUGUGGUUUAAUUCGAUGAUACGCGAGGAACCUUACCAGGGUUUAAAUGCAGAACGACAGGGGUGGAAACACCCCCUUCUUCGGACGGACUGCAAGGUGCUGCAUGGUUGUCGUCAGCUCGUGCUGUGAAGUGUCGGGUUAAGUCCCAUAACGAGCGCAACCCCCAUUUCUAGUUGCCAGCGGUUCGGCCGGGGACUCUAGAGAAACUGCCAGCGUAAGCUGUGAGGAAGGUGGGGAUGGACGUCAAAUCAUCACGGCCCUUACAUCCUGGGGCCACACACCGUGCUACAAUGGGUGGGGACAACAGGGUUGCCAAACCCGCGAGGGGUGAGGCCAAUCCCAAAACCCCAUCCUCAGUUCGGGAUCGGGA
RNAcentral lists this ribosomal RNA (511 nucleotides) under uncultured bacterium. RNAcentral describes it as "bacterial SSU rRNA". It matches the Rfam family "Bacterial small subunit ribosomal RNA", at positions 791 to 1304 of the family's 1533-position model. The record is from RNAcentral.